This 2763-nucleotide ribosomal RNA is filed under the name Escherichia coli. Its description in RNAcentral is "partial 23S ribosomal RNA". It matches the Rfam family "Bacterial large subunit ribosomal RNA". The record is from RNAcentral. Lineage: Bacteria; Pseudomonadati; Pseudomonadota; Gammaproteobacteria; Enterobacterales; Enterobacteriaceae.
AUCCAUAGGUUAAUGAGGCGAACCGGGGGAACUGAAACAUCUAAGUACCCCGAGGAAAAGAAAUCAACCGAGAUUCCCCCAGUAGCGGCGAGCGAACGGGGAGGAGCCCAGAGCCUGAAUCAGUGUGUGUGUUAGUGGAAGCGUCUGGAAAGGCGCGCGAUACAGGGUGACAGCCCCGUACACAAAAAUGCACAUGCUGUGAGCUCGAUGAGUAGGGCGGGACACGUGGUAUCCUGUCUGAAUAUGGGGGGACCAUCCUCCAAGGCUAAAUACUCCUGACUGACCGAUAGUGAACCAGUACCGUGAGGGAAAGGCGAAAAGAACCCCGGCGAGGGGAGUGAAAAAGAACCUGAAACCGUGUACGUACAAGCAGUGGGAGCACAGAGCAAUCUGUGUGACUGCGUACCUUUUGUAUAAUGGGUCAGCGACUUAUAUUCUGUAGCAAGGUUAACCGAAUAGGGGAGCCGAAGGGAAACCGAGUCUUAACCGGGCGUUAAGUUGCAGGGUAUAGACCCGAAACCCGGUGAUCUAGCCAUGGGCAGGUUGAAGGUUGGGUAACACUAACUGGAGGACCGAACCGACUAAUGUUGAAAAAUUAGCGGAUGACUUGUGGCUGGGGGUGAAAGGCCAAUCAAACCGGGAGAUAGCUGGUUCUCCCCGAAAGCUAUUUAGGUAGCGCCUCGUGAAUUCAUCUCCGGGGGUAGAGCACUGUUUCGGCAAGGGGGUCAUCCCGACUUACCAACCCGAUGCAAACUGCGAAUACCGGAGAAUGUUAUCACGGGAGACACACGGCGGGUGCUAACGUCCGUCGUGAAGAGGGAAACAACCCAGACCGCCAGCUAAGGUCCCAAAGUCAUGGUUAAGUGGGAAACGAUGUGGGAAGGCCCAGACAGCCAGGAUGUUGGCUUAGAAGCAGCCAUCAUUUAAAGAAAGCGUAAUAGCUCACUGGUCGAGUCGGCCUGCGCGGAAGAUGUAACGGGGCUAAACCAUGCACCGAAGCUGCGGCAGCGACACUGUGUGUUGUUGGGUAGGGGAGCGUUCUGUAAGCCUGUGAAGGUGUGCUGUGAGGCAUGCUGGAGGUAUCAGAAGUGCGAAUGCUGACAUAAGUAACGAUAAAGCGGGUGAAAAGCCCGCUCGCCGGAAGACCAAGGGUUCCUGUCCAACGUUAAUCGGGGCAGGGUGAGUCGACCCCUAAGGCGAGGCCGAAAGGCGUAGUCGAUGGGAAACAGGUUAAUAUUCCUGUACUUGGUGUUACUGCGAAGGGGGGACGGAGAAGGCUAUGUUGGCCGGGCGACGGUUGUCCCGGUUUAAGCGUGUAGGCUGGUUUUCCAGGCAAAUCCGGAAAAUCAAGGCUGAGGCGUGAUGACGAGGCACUACGGUGCUGAAGCAACAAAUGCCCUGCUUCCAGGAAAAGCCUCUAAGCAUCAGGUAACAUCAAAUCGUACCCCAAACCGACACAGGUGGUCAGGUAGAGAAUACCAAGGCGCUUGAGAGAACUCGGGUGAAGGAACUAGGCAAAAUGGUGCCGUAACUUCGGGAGAAGGCACGCUGAUAUGUAGGUGAAGUCCCUCGCGGAUGGAGCUGAAAUCAGUCGAAGAUACCAGCUGGCUGCAACUGUUUAUUAAAAACACAGCACUGUGCAAACACGAAAGUGGACGUAUACGGUGUGACGCCUGCCCGGUGCCGGAAGGUUAAUUGAUGGGGUCAGCGCAAGCGAAGCUCUUGAUCGAAGCCCCGGUAAACGGCGGCCGUAACUAUAACGGUCCUAAGGUAGCGAAAUUCCUUGUCGGGUAAGUUCCGACCUGCACGAAUGGCGUAAUGAUGGCCAGGCUGUCUCCACCCGAGACUCAGUGAAAUUGAACUCGCUGUGAAGAUGCAGUGUACCCGCGGCAAGACGGAAAGACCCCGUGAACCUUUACUAUAGCUUGACACUGAACAUUGAGCCUUGAUGUGUAGGAUAGGUGGGAGGCUUUGAAGUGUGGACGCCAGUCUGCAUGGAGCCGACCUUGAAAUACCACCCUUUAAUGUUUGAUGUUCUAACGUGGACCCGUGAUCCGGGUUGCGGACAGUGUCUGGUGGGUAGUUUGACUGGGGCGGUCUCCUCCUAAAGAGUAACGGAGGAGCACGAAGGUUGGCUAAUCCUGGUCGGACAUCAGGAGGUUAGUGCAAUGGCAUAAGCCAGCUUGACUGCGAGCGUGACGGCGCGAGCAGGUGCGAAAGCAGGUCAUAGUGAUCCGGUGGUUCUGAAUGGAAGGGCCAUCGCUCAACGGAUAAAAGGUACUCCGGGGAUAACAGGCUGAUACCGCCCAAGAGUUCAUAUCGACGGCGGUGUUUGGCACCUCGAUGUCGGCUCAUCACAUCCUGGGGCUGAAGUAGGUCCCAAGGGUAUGGCUGUUCGCCAUUUAAAGUGGUACGCGAGCUGGGUUUAGAACGUCGUGAGACAGUUCGGUCCCUAUCUGCCGUGGGCGCUGGAGAACUGAGGGGGGCUGCUCCUAGUACGAGAGGACCGGAGUGGACGCAUCACUGGUGUUCGGGUUGUCAUGCCAAUGGCACUGCCCGGUAGCUAAAUGCGGAAGAGAUAAGUGCUGAAAGCAUCUAAGCACGAAACUUGCCCCGAGAUGAGUUCUCCCUGACCCUUUAAGGGUCCUGAAGGAACGUUGAAGACGACGACGUUGAUAGGCCGGGUGUGUAAGCGCAGCGAUGCGUUGAGCUAACCGGUACUAAUGAACCGUGAGGCUUAACCUUACAACGCCGAAGGUGUUU